This 74-nucleotide transfer RNA is filed under the name Verrucomicrobiota bacterium. RNAcentral describes it as "Verrucomicrobia bacterium tRNA-Pro". It matches the Rfam family "tRNA". From Rfam's summary of the family: Transfer RNA (tRNA) molecules are approximately 80 nucleotides in length. Their secondary structure includes four short double-helical elements and three loops (D, anti-codon, and T loops). RNAcentral also lists the same sequence under 3 other names. The record is from RNAcentral. Lineage: Bacteria; Pseudomonadati; Verrucomicrobiota.
CGGGCUGUGGCUCAGCUUGGUAGAGCGUUCGCCUCGGGUGCGAAAGGUCGCAGGUUCGAAUCCUGUCAGCCCGA